RNAcentral lists this ribosomal RNA (253 nucleotides) under uncultured bacterium. Its description in RNAcentral is "partial 16S ribosomal RNA". It matches the Rfam family "Bacterial small subunit ribosomal RNA", at positions 524 to 776 of the family's 1533-position model. The record is from RNAcentral.
UACGGGGGGGGCUAGCGUUGCUCGGAAUCACUGGGCGUAAAGCGCACGUAGGCGGACUCUUAAGUCGGUGGUGAAAUCCUGGAGCUCAACUCCAGAACUGCCUUCGAUACUGAGAGUCUCGAGUCCGGGAGAGGUGAGUGGAACUGCGAGUGUAGAGGUGAAAUUCGUAGAUAUUCGCAAGAACACCAGUGGCGAAGGCGGCUCACUGGCCCGGUACUGACGCUGAGACGCGAAAGCGUGGGGAGCGAACAGG